GAUGAACGCUGGCGGCGUGCUUAACACAUGCAAGUCGAACGAAGCACUUUUAUUUGAUUUCUUCGGAAUGAAGAUUUUAGUGACUGAGUGGCGGACGGGUGAGUAACGCGUGGGCAACCUGCCCUCUAGAUGGGGACAACAUCCCGAAAGGGGUGCUAAUACCGAAUGUGACAGCAAUCUCGCAUGAGGAUGCUGUGAAAGAUGGCCUCUAUUUAUAAGCUAUCGCUAGAGGAUGGGGCCUGCGUCUGAUUAGCUAGUUGGUGGGGUAACGGCCUACCAAGGCGAUGAUCAGUAGCCGGUCUGAGAGGAUGAACGGCCACAUUGGGACUGAGACACGGCCCAG
This 343-nucleotide ribosomal RNA is filed under the name uncultured bacterium. RNAcentral describes it as "bacterial SSU rRNA". It matches the Rfam family "Bacterial small subunit ribosomal RNA", at positions 28 to 334 of the family's 1533-position model. The record is from RNAcentral.